AGGACUUACCGGCGUACUUGGAUAAGUAGGGGUGGUUUUCAGUAAACGAUCACACGGCUUUGAGAUUGAUACAUGAAUGGAAUAGAAAUUUGAGGAUAGUUCUUGGGUGAUUUCUGAAUUUGCGGUUUUUGGUUCUGGUUUUGAGUUGUCGUUUUUGCUCUGCCUCUUCUUUACCCCUGUACAUUGGAAUUUUUUUUUUUUUUUUUUUUUUU
This 212-nucleotide unclassified non-coding RNA is filed under the name Hevea brasiliensis (rubber tree). The record is from RNAcentral. Lineage: Eukaryota; Viridiplantae; Streptophyta; Magnoliopsida; Malpighiales; Euphorbiaceae.